This 468-nucleotide ribosomal RNA is filed under the name uncultured bacterium. Its description in RNAcentral is "partial 16S ribosomal RNA". It matches the Rfam family "Bacterial small subunit ribosomal RNA", at positions 28 to 507 of the family's 1533-position model. The record is from RNAcentral.
GACGAACGCUGGCGGCGUGCUUAACACAUGCAAGUCGAACGGAAAGGCCCUGCUUUUGUGGGGUGCUCGAGUUGCGAACGGGUGAGUAACACGUGAGUAACCUGCCCUUGACUUUGGGAUAACUUCAGGAAACUGGGGCUAAUACCGGAUAGGAGCUCCUGCUGCAUGGUGGGGGUUGGAAAGUUUCGGCGGUUGGGGAUGGACUCGCGGCUUAUCAGCUUGUUGGUGGGGUAGUGGCUUACCAAGGCUUUGACGGGUAGCCGGCCUGAGAGGGUGACCGGCCACAUUGGGACUGAGAUACGGCCCAGACUCCUACGGGAGGCAGCAGUGGGGAAUAUUGCACAAUGGGAGGAAGCAUGAUGCAGCAACGCCGCGUGCGGGAUGACGGCCUUCGGGUUGUAAACCGCUUUCGCCUGUGACGAAGCGUGAGUGACGGUAAUGGGUAAAGAAGCACCGGCUAACUACGUG